AAAAAGUGUAAUUUUAUACCGUCCAAUCUAAUAUUUGACCAUUUUAUCUUAUUUAAAUUAUUUUAUGAUUAUUAUUUUUAUUGUUAUUAAAUGAUAAAAUAUGAACCGUACUUUAUGUAUGACUAAUUUUUAAUAUUUUUUAUAUCUUUUUAAAUAAGACGAACCGUUAAACAUUGGGCACAGAUAGCUACGGCUGUACUUAUU
This 204-nucleotide microRNA precursor is filed under the name Oryza barthii. RNAcentral's name for it is "MIR812 microRNA precursor family". It matches the Rfam family "MIR812 microRNA precursor family". Lineage: Eukaryota; Viridiplantae; Streptophyta; Magnoliopsida; Poales; Poaceae. The record is from Rfam by way of RNAcentral.